RNAcentral lists this ribosomal RNA (450 nucleotides) under uncultured bacterium. Its description in RNAcentral is "bacterial SSU rRNA". It matches the Rfam family "Bacterial small subunit ribosomal RNA", at positions 355 to 825 of the family's 1533-position model. The record is from RNAcentral.
UAGGGAAUAUUGCACAAUGGACGAAAGUCUGAUGCAGCGACGCCGCGUGAGUGAUGAAGGCCUUCGGGUCGUAAAGCUCUGUCGUAUGGGACUAACACAGUGAAGGUACCAUGCAAGAAAGGAUCGGCUAACUUCGUGCCAGCAGCCGCGGUAAGACGAGGGAUCCUAGCGUUGUUCGGAAUUACUGGGCGUAAAGGGCGCGUAGGCGGCCCUCUAAGUCAGACGUGAAAUCCCCCGGCUUAACCUGGGAACUGCGUCUGAUACUGGAGGGCUUGAGUAUGGGAGAGGGAUGUAGAAUUCCAGGUGUAGCGGUGAAAUGCGUAGAUAUCUGGAGGAAUACCGGUGGCGAAGGCGGCAUCCUGGACCAUUACUGACGCUGAGGCGCGAAAGCUAGGGGAGCAAACGGGAUUAGAUACCCAUGUAGUCCCUGAGCGGGCUGGCAAGGCGCAU